GCCUGUUUAUCAAAAACAUGUCUUUUUGAGAAUAAUUUAAGGUCUAACCUGCCCAAUGAUUAAUUUAAUGGCCGCGGUAUUAUGACCGUGCAAAGGUAGCAUAAUCAUUAGUUUUUUAAUUGGAAGCUGGAAUGAAAGGUUGGACAAGAGAGUUACUGUCUUCAGUUUAAUUUAGGUGGAAUUUUAUUUUUUAGUAAAAAAGCUUAAAUAAUAGUGAGGGACGAGAAGACCCUAUAGAAUUUUAUAAAGGUAAUAAUUAAAGUUUUUUGUUAUUUUAUGUUUUUAUUAUUUGUUUUUAUUUUGUUGGGGUGAUGGAAAAAUUUGGUUAACUUUUUUUUGUUUAUACGUAAAUGAACGAGUAUAUGAUCCAGUAGUAUUGAUUAUAAGAUAAAAUUACCUUAGGGAUAACAGCGUAAUUAAUUUGGGGAGUUCAUAUCUAUAAAUUAGUUUGCGACCUCGAUGUUGGAUUAAAAUAUACUGUUGGUGAAGAGACUGACAAGUUAAGUCUGUUCGACUUAUAAAAUUUUACAUGAUCUGAGUUCAGACCGG
Molecule: ribosomal RNA, 549 nt
Filed under: Figulus punctatus
Lineage: Eukaryota; Metazoa; Arthropoda; Insecta; Coleoptera; Lucanidae
Description: partial 16S ribosomal RNA
Rfam family: Bacterial large subunit ribosomal RNA
Source: RNAcentral